AACGAACGCUGGCGGCAGGCUUAACACAUGCAAGUCGAACGCGUGUAGCAAUACACGAGUGGCGCACGGGUGAGUAACGCGUGGAUAUCUGCCUUUUGGUUCGGAAUAACCCCGGGAAACUGGGGCUAAUACCGGAUGGUUCCUUCGGGAUAAAGAUUUAUCGCCAAAAGAUGAGUCCGCGUACGAUUAGCUAGUUGGUGAGGUAAUGGCUCACCAAGGCGACGAUAGUUAGCUGGUCUGAGAGGACGAUCAGCCACACUGGGACUGAGACACGGCCCAGACUCCUACGGGAGGCAGCAGGGGGGAAUAUUGGAAAAUGGGGGCAACCCUGAUCCAGCCAUGCCGCGUGGGUGAUGAAGGCCUUCGGGUUGUAAAGCUCUUUUGGCGGGGACGAUGAUGACGGUACCCGCAGAAGAAGCCCCGGCUAACUUCGUGCCAGGCGCCGCAGUAA
This 451-nucleotide ribosomal RNA is filed under the name uncultured bacterium. RNAcentral describes it as "partial 16S ribosomal RNA". It matches the Rfam family "Bacterial small subunit ribosomal RNA", at positions 29 to 523 of the family's 1533-position model. The record is from RNAcentral.